CAAAAACAUUCUGUUUCAAACCCUAAUUUCCCGUCCGUACGCCAUCUUCCUGCUAAAUCUUCCGGCGCGUCUCAUUUCGAUUAAUCACUUUUCUUUUCGAGGUUCGUCGAUCAUUCGAUCAUCGCCGUCAGAUCAAUUUUUCGGUUUAUUAAUCGUUUGUUGUGGAUUUUGAGGGGGAGAUCGGGGUUUAGGUUACGGAUUCGGAUCCGAGGGGAAAAUAUGAGUAAUCAGAAGAAGAGAAACUUUCAGAUAGAGGCGUUUAAGCACCGGGUCGUGGUGGAUCCAAAAUACGCUGAUAAGACCUGGAAGAUUCUGGAACAUGCUAUCCAUGAGAUUUACAAUCACAACGCUAGUGGCCUUAGUUUUGA
RNAcentral lists this unclassified non-coding RNA (368 nucleotides) under Hevea brasiliensis (rubber tree). Lineage: Eukaryota; Viridiplantae; Streptophyta; Magnoliopsida; Malpighiales; Euphorbiaceae. The record is from RNAcentral.